Non-coding RNA from Oryza barthii, 205 nucleotides. The record is from Rfam. Lineage: Eukaryota; Viridiplantae; Streptophyta; Magnoliopsida; Poales; Poaceae.
AAAAAAGCAAACCCUGGGUUUCCGUGUCCAACUUUGGCUGUUCGUCUUAUAUGAAAUUUUUUUAUAAUUCGUAUUUUUAUUGCUGUUAGAUGAUAAAAUAUGAUUAAUAUUUUAUGCUUGACUUGUUUUUUUAAUUUUUUUCAUAAUUUUUUCAAAUAAGACGGACGGUCAAACGUUGGACACGGAAACUAGGGUUUGUCUUUUU